RNAcentral lists this ribosomal RNA (253 nucleotides) under uncultured bacterium. Its description in RNAcentral is "partial 16S ribosomal RNA". It matches the Rfam family "Bacterial small subunit ribosomal RNA", at positions 524 to 776 of the family's 1533-position model. The record is from RNAcentral.
UACGUAGGGUGCGAGCGUUAAUCGGAAUUACUGGGCGUAAAGCGUGCGCAGGCGGCUUGCCAAGUCAGAUGUGAAAGCCCCGGGCUCAACCCGGGAACUGCGUUUGAAACUGGCAGGCUAGAGUUUGGCAGAGGGGGGUGGAAUUCUCGGUGUAGCAGUGAAAUGCGUAGAGAUGCGGAGGAACACCGAUGGCGAAGGCAGCCCCCUGGGCUAACACUGACGCUCAGGCACGAAAGCGUGGGGAGCAAACAGG